Gorilla gorilla gorilla (western lowland gorilla) is the source of this 1045-nucleotide long non-coding RNA. RefSeq lists it as uncharacterized. The record is from RefSeq and is a predicted model, not a curated record. NCBI's taxonomy places the organism in Eukaryota, Metazoa, Chordata, Mammalia, Primates, Hominidae. The transcript is spliced from 3 exons.
GUCCAAGAAGGACAAACAGUCUGCUCAGCUCUAGGUCAAAGAGCUUCUCUGUAGUGCAAAGACUAAUGCUUCUAAUGAUACACCUGAGAAUAUCCUAAAAAGAAGUGUGGUGAUGUACAAAGCAAGAUCCAGACAUCCUAUGUUGUUUCUGGACAGGCUGUGGUCCUACAACCGCUGCUUAGAAGUACUACAUGUUGAUAGCCAGUACAUAUGACGAUGUGGAGAAACAGGCAUGCUCUACAUACUGAAACAAGAGAGCCCAACACUUCACUACAAGGGUUAUGAGUGACGACUCUGCACUUGACGAGAGUAUCCUUCAAUCACUCACCUCGAAAGCAUCUCUCAUUCUGACUAAAUAACCAACGUGUUUUAUGCGGACAUUGCAUUUUAAAUUAAUCUUUGAAAAUUUACACUAAAUUUUUUGAACUUUGCAUGAUAAAAUUGUAGUAUACUAAUAAUGCCUGUACCUAAGGAUUUUUUAAAAGCUAAAUGUGCAUUGUGUUUGUAGGUGCUAGGUGGGAAACAAUUUCUACUCAAACAAAGAAAUUAGGUAUAACAACUUGUUAAAGCAAGAAAGUAAUGCAAUUUUUAAUGCAAGUUAUGCUUUAUGAAAAGACAACUAUUAAAUAAGCAAAAAAUGACUAUACUUUUAUAAGAUGUCAUUAGUGACACAGCACACCAUUAUUUUAUGUCCUACAAAGGGAAUUAAAGUAAAAAUGAUUUCUUGUCAUAUUUAUUGUAAUAUGCAUCCUAACUUCAGAAAUGUUAAAUAUGAAAGAAAAUAAAACCCACCAAGUUUUAGAAGAAUAUCUCACCGUAUUCCCAUAGAGGCCACAUAUCUUAACAUUGUGUUACGGAAGUUACUGCAUCACAUCCUGUGAGAUGUGUUAAAAUGGAGUUUUAUUCUUGUUUGAUUACUGACUAUCAACACAAUUUUCAUAAUAUUGAGUCAGUGUAUAUGACGAAAAGGGUUAAAGCUCUAAGCAAAGUAUAUUUCUAUAAAUCGCAUGCAUAAUUAACACGAGGGGCUAAUAAAAAUUUGAAA